RNAcentral lists this ribosomal RNA (496 nucleotides) under uncultured bacterium. Its description in RNAcentral is "partial 16S ribosomal RNA". It matches the Rfam family "Bacterial small subunit ribosomal RNA", at positions 28 to 507 of the family's 1533-position model. The record is from RNAcentral.
GAUGAACGCUGGCGGCGUGCCUAAUACAUGCAAGUCGAGCGAACAGACGAGGAGCUUGCUCCUCUGACGUUAGCGGCGGACGGGUGAGUAACACGUGGAUAACCUACCUAUAAGACUGGGAUAACUUCGGGAAACCGGAGCUAAUACCGGAUAAUAUAUUGAACCGCAUGGUUCAAUAGUGAAAGACGGUUUUCUGUCACUUAUAGAUGGAUCCGCGCCGCAUUAGCUAGUUGGUAAGGUAACGGCUUACCAAGGCGACGAUGCGUAGCCGACCUGAGAGGGUGAUCGGCCACACUGGAACUGAGGCACGGUCCAGACUCCUACGGGAGGCAGCAGUAGGGAAUCUUCCGCAAUGGGCGAAAGCUUGACGGAGCAACGCCGCGUGAGUGAUGAAGGUCUUCGGAUCGUAAAACUCUGUUAUUAGGGAAGAACAAAUGUGUAAGUAACUAUGCACGUCUUGACGGUACCUAAUCAGAAAGCCACGGCUAACUACGUG